RNAcentral lists this ribosomal RNA (252 nucleotides) under uncultured bacterium. Its description in RNAcentral is "partial 16S ribosomal RNA". It matches the Rfam family "Bacterial small subunit ribosomal RNA", at positions 524 to 775 of the family's 1533-position model. The record is from RNAcentral.
UACGUAGGGUGCAAGCGUUGUCCGGAAUCAUUGGGCGUAAAGCGCGUGUAGGCGGCUCGGUAAGUCCGCUCUGAAAGUCCAGGGCUCAACCCUGGGAUGCGGGUGGAUACUGCCGGGCUCGAGUCCGGAAGAGGCGAGUGGAAUUCCCGGUGUAGCGGUGAAAUGCGCAGAUAUCGGGAGGAACACCAAUGGCGAAGGCAGCUCGCUGGGACGUGACUGACGCUGAGACGCGAAAGCGUGGGGAGCAACAGG